GUGGAUGAUCUACCCACUCUCUCAAAUCUGCCAUAAAACAGGAAGCUCGAGCUAACAUGUGAACUACUCCAUUUGCAAAUCGAUGAACAUGCUAAAAAGAAAGAUGAGAAACGUCAUCAGCAACAUGAAGACAAUCUUGAAAAAGUACAUAAAAAAUAAGAAGUUGAGCCUCUGAAUGUUGAAGUGCAGAAAUGGCAAAUAAGGCAUCAGAUUCUAAUAUGUUCUGCGGCCAUUCCUUCUACUUGAUCCAACUAAGUGCCUCACAGAUACUCAUAUUUCCGCAACAGGAGCAAAACUUCUAGGGAUACGAAGUGAACGAGUUGCAAUCAUA
This 331-nucleotide unclassified non-coding RNA is filed under the name Hevea brasiliensis (rubber tree). The record is from RNAcentral. Lineage: Eukaryota; Viridiplantae; Streptophyta; Magnoliopsida; Malpighiales; Euphorbiaceae.